CCUCACUGCUAUCGGGGUGGGACUAAAACAUGCAAGUUGAGCGCCUCCAAGCUAUGGUGAAGGCGCAGCAAACGGCUCAGUAACACGUGGCUAACCUGCCCUUGGGACAAGGACAACUCCGGGAAACUGGGGCUAAUCCCUGAUAAGUGAGAACUCCUGGAAUGGAUUCUCGCUCAAAGGACGUUUAGACCAUGCUUCUAAGCGUCGCCCAAGGAGGGGGCCGCGACCGAUCAGGUUGUUGGUGAGGUAACGGCUCACCAAGCCUUUAACCGGUACGGGCCGUGAGAGCGGAAGCCCGGAGAUGGGCACUGAGACAAGGGCCCAGGCCCUACGGGGCGCAGCAGUCGCGAAAACUCCGCAAUACACGAAAGUGUGACGGGGCCAUCCCGAGUGCCAUCCGCUGAGGAUGGCUUUUCCCCAGUGUAUAAAGCUGGGGGAAUAAGGAGAGGGCAAGCCUGGUGUCAGCCGCCGCGGUAAUACCAGCUCUCCGAGUGGUGGGGAUGCUUAUUGGGCCUAAAGCAUUCGUAGCCUGCUUGGCAAGUCCUCCGUUAAAUUCAACGAUUCAAUCGUUGGGCUGCGGGGGAUACUGUCCGGCUAGGGGGCGGGAGAGGCCGACGGUAUCCUCGGGGUAGGGGUGAAAUCCUAUAAUCCCGGGAGGACCACCAGUGGCGAAGGCUGUCGGCUAGAACGCGCUCGACGGUGAGGGAUGAAAGCUGGGGGAGCGAACCGGAUUAGAUACCCGGGUAGUCCCAGCUGUAAACGAUGCAGGCUAGGUGUUGGCGCGGCUACGUGCCGCUCCAGUGCCGCAGGGAAGCCGUUAAGCCUGCCGCCUGGGAAGUACGGCCGCAAGGCUGAAACUUAAAGGAAUUGGCGGGGGAGCACCACAAGGUGUGAAGCUUGCGGUUU
This 906-nucleotide ribosomal RNA is filed under the name uncultured archaeon. Its description in RNAcentral is "bacterial SSU rRNA". It matches the Rfam family "Archaeal small subunit ribosomal RNA", at positions 21 to 903 of the family's 1478-position model. The record is from RNAcentral.